Molecule: long non-coding RNA, 4540 nt
Organism: Oxyura jamaicensis (ruddy duck)
Lineage: Eukaryota; Metazoa; Chordata; Aves; Anseriformes; Anatidae
Exons: 2
Source: RefSeq, a predicted model, not a curated record
CUUGCAGUGAAAUAAUUGGAGGCAGUUUAAUUAUUGGAAUAAUUUUUAAACCACCAUUUCUGACAGCCAGGGGCAAUGACAAAUCACAGUUUAGUGUGGCUGUGCAUGGUGUUUGUUUCCAUCCCUGUAUUGGUACAACACCUCCUUCCCCAAAGGUGUGUGCCAGACCACCAGUCAUAGUCCCCUCCAUGGUGAUUCCAUGGCUUGCAAGGCUGGCCCACAGCUACAGGACUUUACAGCUCAGCACAGAGAUCCAGCAGAUAUCCCCAGCCACACUACCACUCUGGAGCUUAUUUUUUUCCCUUCCCAUCCAAGCAGAGCCAGAGCUGGUGCAAGAGGGCAGGACUGUACUGCUGCAAUUACAGCCAGGAAAGGGAGAGGUGAAAAAUAGAGCAAGCCAAACCUGCCCCUGUCAACAGCUAAGAGACGUUAGAUUGGAUUCCCCAUUUUGUGUAACUUCACCCUAAACAGUAAGGAGGAGGCUGUGCAGCUAGCUGCACAUCCAUAGCACUUGACACAAGUGCAAACAGCAGCAGCCAGUACUUGUGAGGAGCCUGAAUCUCUUUUUCCUUGCCAAGUGCAUGCUUGUACGCUCUGGCAUGGCCAUUCCAAGCACCUGUAGGGGCCAGCAAUAACUAAGCUGGAGUAUGGUCGCAAACCUAAUUAAUGGAUUACAUCGUCCUGCUUCCAGCAAAACCUCUCUGUGUCUUUAUGGUCAUGUACCAGAAGGGUAAACAAGGACACAUGACAUAUGUACAGCCCUGUUUAUCCUGCCCCUGACCUGCAUUGUGGUCCUGAUUCUAGACUCCUCUCUGCUAAAAGCUAAUGAAAUUCCAUCAUGUGUUUGUUCUGAUUCCCCCCCCACACACACUCCUGCUCCCGUUUCUGAGAUGUCCUGAAAAUAAUUCUGUUAGCAGGAAAAUAAACAGGACAUUACUCUUGAUGGCUUUCAAUUGUAUUUUCUCUUUCCCUGAUGUCAGCCCCUGGCAGAGGCGGGGGGGAAGAGGAACUCAGGGCCAUCAGAGAAGUUUUUCUGGCACAGACAAGCAACCUGUGUGCUGCCAAACUCUUUGCUAUUGUACAGCGUGCACCCUGCUGCUUGCCUGGGACCUGAAUAAUAGAGCCUUACUGUGAAACUGUUAAAGAAAAAAAAAACGAAGUUGAGCACAGCGAAGGCAGGUCAAGCAGCAGUGUGAGCUGGGACCAACAAACAGGCAUUUUUGCCUUCUGUGUCAGCUAGUAGCAAUGAACAAGGAUGGGUAUUUUUUAACGGUUGUUGUUUUUUGGGUUAGCAUUGAGAAAUAUUAAUGGAGACUGAGCAGAAGACAAAGCCCAAACCAGACUUGGAUCCUUUCAGACUCCAUUCACAGGGCAGCUUUUACACCUGGAGACACAGGUGGAGUUCCCUGGUGGCCCACGUUCCUGGUGACCACACAUACACCUGGGCUCAAUUAAGCAUGGUCCAUCAUCCACACCUGGUCUGGGGCAUCCUGGCUCCCACCAGCACUAGAAAGACUUCCUCUGCACCACAGGUGCAUUCACACCAUAUCUUCAGGGGUUUCCCCACAAGCUUGCAAGAGCUCAGGACACACCAUCUAGCCACUAGAAGGGUGAAGCAGCUUGUGGGGCUGUUCAGCUGAACCCCUAAUUGCAGUGAAGAUCACCACCUUCCUUCUCAGCCUUUUCUGCAGGUGGCAACCAGCGUGCUUUCCCUGCCACCCAAGUGGCAGGCUGCAAUAACAAGUGACAUCAAGAAUGGCAGUGAGGGAGAGAUGCUGUUCAAGGAGACACACCAGACGGCACGGAGCUGGUUGGGUGCAGAAGGGCAAGCAAGCUGCUCCAGAUGGAAGAAGCAGAAGACAUCUAAAAUCACCCUUUGUCUUUCUAACUCACAGAUGAGUAUAAGCCUGUUUUGCAUUCUGCCAAGCAUACUGCACUGCUUUCACUGUGUUUGCUCCAAAGAUGUGCGAGUCCUUUCCCCCCAAGACCUUAACCUAGACCAUAAGCCUGGCCAUGGUGUGCUGGGCCAAAGGCUCAGAUGCCCCUGCAUCCCAUCUGUAAUGAAAGUUCUGGAGCACAUGCUUAAGGAGCAAGUUUAUUCCUCCUCUUUCAACUUCUGGCAGUCAACACACUGAGGAGGAUUCUAUAUUUCAGUCUGUCCUGUCCUACGUGUAUUCUCUUGGGUUUUUUUGACUCAUCCAUGCAUCAGCAUUGCUGGCAUCGAAACAGGUCUGAAUUCUUCCCAUCAAUAGAGGGCAGUGCUGGCCUCAUUGUCCCAGCACAGGACACGUGUUGCUUCUGAGAUAAAGUGUAAUAUUUGUUAUUAAAGGUUGAGGUCUUGGUUGAGGUCUUUUUGGCACAGCUCUGUGUUUUGGUCUCCUAGUAAACCAACUUAAGAACUGCUGGGGUUACAAAAGGCAGGAGUUAAUCAGUAACUCAGAUGUUUAUCAACUGCACGUUUAACUAUUUAUUCCUCUCUUGUAAUACCCACCUGUUUUUUAUCUCCAUUUAAUGAGUAACUAUUGGGAAGGGGAUUAAAUACACCUGUUCUCCCUACAUAUUGGGACUUUCCGGGGGUGGCCAUUUUGAUUGUAAGGAGCUGUACCCAAAUUCAUUGACACAGAAAUGAAAACCCAAGUGUUUCAAGAGAUAAAAUAAAUAAACCACCCCCUUAAAGAUAAACCAGGUCCUCCUACAGCCUCAUCUGGCACACUUCCAGCUUCACUGUCAUUCUGCAGGCUUAUUUCUCCAUGUACACCCCAGCAUGAUUUUACCCCUGGUAUGUUCUCUUAGCAUCUCCUGUUGUCUAUUCCUUCCCACCUGUUUUCAUAGAACCACGGGAAAAAAAAAAAAAAAAAAAAAAAAAAAAAAAAAUGACACAGGAGGGAUCCUGGGAGUUCAUUCUGUCCACAAAUAAUUCUUCCCUCUGCUCUAUCCCAGUGCUUCCAUUUACUGUGGGAGUAAGGAAGUAAAUGUCUUUUGUUGUGCAGUACGCUUUGGAUUAGGUGCUUCUGUAAGGGAAGGCUCAGGACUGCUGUUCCCAGUCUUGCCAUUGCUACCUGUGGGAAUGUGGGCAAGGCGACCACGGCUUGUUCAUGUGUAGCCCGGAGCUAUGUGUCUGCCUCUGAGCACUGCAAUGGUCAAUCAGCUGAGCAUGAACUAUUUUGACAUCUAUAAAAGGGUGUUAUUAAGGCCAUAUAAAGUCUUACUAUCUUCUUAUGCAAUUCUUCCUGUGCAAGGGACAUGCUGAUCUCUCUGUGCCCCUUUCCACCCUGUCACUUUGAAUCCUUCUUCUGUUCCAUGUCUCCCCCAGCCCUCGCUGCGUUUGGUUGCUUUCCUCUGUGUGUGUUCAAAAUACAGCUCAUAAAAUGCCUGUUUUAAAGUUCAUGGUGCCAAAGCUUUGUACGUUUUCAUAAUGCACUCUUCUCACUACUGAUAAUGGCAUGCUCUCUGAGGUUUAACUCCUGUUUGCUCAGCAGAAGCCUGGUAGCUGCUUUCUUUAAGUCACUUCCAGCUUCUCAGUUAGGGCUCUCUGCCCCCAAAGCCUCCACUCACCCACACCAUCUCCAACAGAGAGGUUGGCUGUGAAGAUGGGCAUCCUUAAAGCAAAAGCCAUGGGCAUGAAAGUAAAGAGGGCAGGAAUAUUUCUGCAGCCUUUGUUCCUGGUGGUGUUGGCUGAGCCUGAAAGCACACAGCUGGAUGCCAGCAGCCCAGGCAGAGGUUAAAGGAGUGGUACCACGAGAGGAAGGAUGGACUGAUGGACAUAUUCUUCCUGUAAACUGAAAAUGCCUGACCACAGACAGCCAGAAACAACAAACCUGGAACUCCACGGGACAAAUUUUGUGGUUGCUUUUGAGAGAAGAGACUCUUUUGACCUAGCAAUGUUGUUAUUAACUUUUUGCUUCCUAGCACUGAUUCUGAAAUUCUCCUCUAUCCCUGCAGCCUACGUUAAACACUAAUUAAAACCACCUAGCACAAAAACAGCCCUAGGUUCAGAGUGCUAUUUAUUAAGCUCCUUAAUGAGACAAGAGGAAGAAAUAUUUUUACGUUGUCAAUUUUUAUUAACACUGUCAGUUAUAUGCAGACAGCCUUGCCAGCUGCCUAGGUGAGGAGGGCAAAGGUAAACGGUAAACAAGAGGGAGAGAUCUGGAAAAAAAUAAAAAUAAAAGGGGAGGGGAGGGGGAGUCAGUGAUUUUCCAUUUGGCAUUUGCUGAAGGUAAUAGUAACUUGGUCACAGAGAAAUAAAGAACAAGCAGGGCUCAGUGCUCUGCAGCAUGAACAGAAAUGCUCCACAGAAUCUGCCCAGAAAACCUGUGACUGCAGUGAGAGGCGAUGGUAAUUGCAUGGCUUGGUCUUUCUGAUUUUGUCUCAUGCUGAGCAGCCAAAUGCCAUGCAAAGCUAUUUGUCAGGUGUAAGAGCUUUGCUCUUAGAAAAUGCAAAACUUCAUAUAAAAAGCCAAAGUCAUCCCUAGCUGCAAAGUUUCUUCUGUACUUUCUGGGGAUCACAGUAACCAGUCUUCUUCCGCAGCAAAGUUCUCAAC